CUUGCUUCUCUUGAGAGCGGCGGACGGGUGAGUAAUGCCUAGGAAUCUGCCUGGUAGUGGGGGAUAACGUCCGGAAACGGACGCUAAUACCGCAUACGUCCUACGGGAGAAAGCAGGGGACCUUCGGGCCUUGCGCUAUCAGAUGAGCCUAGGUCGGAUUAGCUAGUUGGUGGGGUAAUGGCUCACCAAGGCGACGAUCCGUAACUGGUCUGAGAGGAUGAUCAGUCACACUGGAACUGAGACACGGUCCAGACUCCUACGGGAGGCAGCAGUGGGGAAUAUUGGACAAUGGGCGAAAGCCUGAUCCAGCCAUGCCGCGUGUGUGAAGAAGGUCUUCGGAUUGUAAAGCACUUUAAGUUGGGAGGAAGGGCAGUAAAUUAAUACUUUGCUGUUUUGACGUUACCGACAGAAUAAGCACCGGCUAACUCUGUGCCAGCAGCCGCGGUAAUACAGAGGGUGCAAGCGUUAAUCGGAAUUACUGGGCGUAAAGCGCGCGUAGGUGGUUCGUUAACUUGGAUGUGAAAUCCCCGGGCUCAACCUGGGAACUGCAUUCAAAACUGACGAGCUAGAGUAUGGUA
This 578-nucleotide ribosomal RNA is filed under the name uncultured bacterium. Its description in RNAcentral is "bacterial SSU rRNA". It matches the Rfam family "Bacterial small subunit ribosomal RNA", at positions 79 to 653 of the family's 1533-position model. The record is from RNAcentral.